UACGUAGGGUGCAAGCGUUGUCCGGAAUUAUUGGGCGUAAAGAGCUCGUAGGCGGUCUGUCGCGUCGGCUGUGAAAACCUGGGGCUUAACUCCGGGCCUGCAGCCGAUACGGGCAGACUAGAGUACGGCAGGGGAGACUGGAAUUCCUGGUGUAGCGGUGAAAUGCGCAGAUAUCAGGAGGAACACCGGUGGCGAAGGCGGGUCUCUGGGCCGAAACUGACGCUGAGCAGCGAAAGCGUGGGGAGCAAACAGG
This 253-nucleotide ribosomal RNA is filed under the name uncultured bacterium. Its description in RNAcentral is "partial 16S ribosomal RNA". It matches the Rfam family "Bacterial small subunit ribosomal RNA", at positions 524 to 776 of the family's 1533-position model. The record is from RNAcentral.